Molecule: ribosomal RNA, 435 nt
Filed under: uncultured bacterium
Lineage: Bacteria
Description: partial 16S ribosomal RNA
Rfam family: Bacterial small subunit ribosomal RNA
Source: RNAcentral
AGCGAACGCUGGCGGCAGGCUUAACACAUGCAAGUCGAGCGGGCAUCUUCGGAUGUCAGCGGCAGACGGGUGAGUAACACGUGGGAACGUACCCUUCGGUUCGGAACAACUCUGGGAAACUGGAGCUAAUACCGGAUACGCCCUUAUGGGGAAAGGUUUACUGCCGAAGGAUCGGCCCGCGUCUGAUUAGCUAGUUGGUGGGGUAACGGCCUACCAAGGCGACGAUCAGUAGCUGGUCUGAGAGGAUGAUCAGCCACACUGGGACUGAGGCACGGCCCAGACUCCUACGGGAGGCAGCAGUGGGGAAUAUUGGACAAUGGGCGCAAGCCUGAUCCAGCCAUGCCGCGUGAGUGAUGAAGGCCUUAGGGUUGUAAAGCUCUUUUGUCCGGGACGAUAAUGACGGUACCGGAAGAAUAAGCCCCGGCUAACUUCGUA